Molecule: ribosomal RNA, 630 nt
Filed under: uncultured Bacteroidales bacterium
Lineage: Bacteria; Pseudomonadati; Bacteroidota; Bacteroidia; Bacteroidales
Description: bacterial SSU rRNA
Rfam family: Bacterial small subunit ribosomal RNA
Source: RNAcentral
UUGCCGGCGACCGGCGCACGGGUGCGUAACGCGUAUGUAACCUACCUAUAACAGGGGCAUAACACUGAGAAAUUGGUACUAAUUCCCCAUAAUAUUCGGAGAGGCAUCUCUCCGGGUUGAAAACUCCGGUGGUUAUAGAUGGACAUGCGUUGUAUUAGCUAGUUGGUGAGGUAACGGCUCACCAAGGCAACGAUACAUAGGGGGACUGAGAGGUUAACCCCCCACACUGGUACUGAGACACGGACCAGACUCCUACGGGAGGCAGCAGUGAGGAAUAUUGGUCAAUGGACGCAAGUCUGAACCAGCCAUGCCGCGUGCAGGAAGACGGCUCUAUGAGUUGUAAACUGCUUUUGUACGAGGGUAAACUCACCUACGUGUAGGUGACUGAAAGUAUCGUACGAAUAAGGAUCGGCUAACUCCGUGCCAGCAGCCGCGGUAAUACGGAGGAUUCAAGCGUUAUCCGGAUUUAUUGGGUUUAAAGGGUGCGUAGGCAGUUUGAUAAGUUAGAGGUGAAAUCCCGGGGCUUAACUCCGGAACUGCCUCUAAUACUGUUAGACUAGAGAGUAGUUGCGGUAGGCGGAAUGUAUGGUGUAGCGGUGAAAUGCUUAGAGAUCAUACAGAACACCGAUU